UACGUAGGGGGCAAGCGUUGUCCGGAUUUAUUGGGCGUAAAGAGCGUGUAGGCGGCUUUACAGGUCCGUUGUGAAAACUCGAGGCUCAACCUCGAGACGCCGGUGGAAACCGUAAAGCUAGAGUCCGGAAGAGGAGAGUGGAAUUCCUGGUGUAGCGGUGAAAUGCGCAGAUAUCAGGAGGAACACCCGUGGCGAAGGCGGCUCACUGGCCCGGAACUGACGCUGAGACGCGAAAGCGUGGGGAGCAAACAGG
This 253-nucleotide ribosomal RNA is filed under the name uncultured bacterium. RNAcentral's name for it is "partial 16S ribosomal RNA". It matches the Rfam family "Bacterial small subunit ribosomal RNA", at positions 524 to 776 of the family's 1533-position model. The record is from RNAcentral.